CAGCAGCCGCGGUAAUACGUAGGUGGCAAGCGUUGUCCGGAAUUAUUGGGCGUAAAGGGCUCGCAGGCGGUUUCUUAAGUCUGAUGUGAAAGCCCCCGGCUCAACCGGGGAGGGUCAUUGGAAACUGGGAAACUUGAGUGCAGAAGAGGAGAGUGGAAUUCCACGUGUAGCGGUGAAAUGCGUAGAGAUGUGGAGGAACACCAGUGGCGAAGGCGACCCUCUGGUCUGUAACUGACGCUGAGGAGCGAAAGCGUGGGGAGCGAACAGGAUUAGAUACCCGCGUAGUCCCUGUCUCUUAUAC
Molecule: ribosomal RNA, 301 nt
Filed under: uncultured bacterium
Lineage: Bacteria
Description: partial 16S ribosomal RNA
Rfam family: Bacterial small subunit ribosomal RNA
Source: RNAcentral